This 68-nucleotide transfer RNA is filed under the name human gut metagenome. It matches the Rfam family "tRNA". From Rfam's summary of the family: Transfer RNA (tRNA) molecules are approximately 80 nucleotides in length. Their secondary structure includes four short double-helical elements and three loops (D, anti-codon, and T loops). RNAcentral also lists the same sequence under 1 other name. The record is from RNAcentral.
CGGUGUAGCUCAAUUGGCAGAGCAGCUGAUUUGUAAUCAGCAGGUUGCGGGUUCAAGUCCCAUCGCCG